UACAGAGGAGCCAAGCGUUGUCCGGAUUGACUGGGCGUAAAGCGAGCGUAGUCGGUUAUUUAAGUCGGGUGUGAAAGCCCCGGGCUCAACCUGGGAAUUGCAUUCGAUACUGGAUAGCUAGAGUUCGGCAGAGGGAAGCGGAAUUUCCGGUGUAGCGGUGAAAUGCGUAGAUAUCGGAAGGAACAUCAGUGGCGAAAGCGGCUUCCUGGACCAGAACUGACGAUCAGGCUCGAAAGCGUGGGGAGCAAACAGG
Molecule: ribosomal RNA, 253 nt
Filed under: uncultured bacterium
Lineage: Bacteria
Description: partial 16S ribosomal RNA
Rfam family: Bacterial small subunit ribosomal RNA
Source: RNAcentral